CAGCAGCCACGGGAAUACGUAGGGUGCAAGCGUUAAUCGGAAUUACUGGGCGUAAAGCGUGCGCAGGCGGUUUUGUAAGUCUGUCGUGAAAUCCCCGGGCUCAACCUGGGAAUGGCGAUGGAGACUGCAAGGCUAGAAUCUGGCAGAGGGGGGUAGAAUUCCACGUGUAGCAGUGAAAUGCGUAGAUAUGUGGAGGAACACCGAUGGCGAAGGCAGCCCCCUGGGCUAAGAUUGACGCUCAUGCACGAAAGCGUGGGGAGCAAACAGGAUUAGAUACCCCCGUAGUCCCUGUCUCUUAUAC
This 301-nucleotide ribosomal RNA is filed under the name uncultured bacterium. RNAcentral describes it as "partial 16S ribosomal RNA". It matches the Rfam family "Bacterial small subunit ribosomal RNA", at positions 509 to 807 of the family's 1533-position model. The record is from RNAcentral.